GUCCAUAGAUUGAAGUUUCAGGUGGAGAGCAAGAUGAAAAAUAUGCAAAAUUACAUGCAUGCAACCCAUUUAUGCCAUUUUUCUCUUUGUUUGUAGGCCUGACCGUUUGUCCUUGAGCCGUAGAUGGUCAACAAUCCGCUAGCUGUCUUGCUCUGACUGGUGCACUGGACAUGAUUUCAAUAGUCAGCCAGACCAUGAUUGAGCUUAAGGGUUGUGCUGCGGAUGCAGCCUGUGCAGUUCGGGGAGAAAGUCACUGUCUCGGGCAAUGCGGUCUGGUAUCAGGUCUGGAUGAUCCUUGCCUGACUGCGGGUUUGUGUACACCUCAAUCCGACUCUGUGUCCUGAACAGAGGCCGCAGUGGUGCAGCGCUUGUGGACGAUCCAUCAACAUCCUGAAAGGUCAACACUACACCAAGCUGGGAAAAUUGAUCCUGAUAGUCAUCCCCAGGCCUGACCGUUUGUCCUUGAGCCGUAGAUGGUCAACAAUCCGCUAGCUGUCUUGCUCUGACUGGUGCACUGGACAUGAUUUCAAUAGUCAGCCAGACCAUGAUUGAGCUUAAGGGUUGUGCUGCGGAUGCAGCCUGUGCAGUUCGGGGAGAAAGUCACUGUCUCGGGCAAUGCGGUCUGGUAUCAGGUCUGGAUGAUCCUUGCCUGACUGCGGGUUUGUGUACACCUCAAUCCGACUCUGUGUCCUGAACAGAGGCCGCAGUGGUGCAGCGCUUGUGGACGAUCCAUCAACAUCCUGAAAGGUCAACACUACACCAAGCUGGGAAAAUUGAUCCUGAUAGUCAUCCCCAGGCCUGACCGUUUGUCCUUGAGCCGUAGAUGGUCAACAAUCCGCUAGCUGUCUUGCUCUGACUGGUGCACUGGACAUGAUUUCAAUAGUCAGCCAGACCAUGAUUGAGCUUAAGGGUUGUGCUGCGGAUGCAGCCUGUGCAGUUCGGGGAGAAAGUCACUGUCUCGGGCAAUGCGGUCUGGUAUCAGGUCUGGAUGAUCCUUGCCUGACUGCGGGUUUGUGUACACCUCAAUCCGACUCUGUGUCCUGAACAGAGGCCGCAGUGGUGCAGCGCUUGUGGACGAUCCAUCAACAUCCUGAAAGGUCAACACUACACCAAGCUGGGAAAAUUGAUCCUGAUAGUCAUCCCCAGGUAGUGGAAUGAAUGUUCACUGAACUACAGAGGAAUCACACCCAAAUGACUUUCCUGCCACGACAUUAGUGUGGCCACUCGCGUAGGAAUUCCUUAGCAAACAUGCUCUUUUGCAUGGUGACUGUGGACAUUUUUGCAAAACUUACGCUUUCAACACUGGAUUUUAAAGAGAAUACUUAAUAAAAUGUCGCUAACAGGACUUAUUUAUAUGAGAGAGACUAUCUGGAUGCGCAUUAAGUGUCACUUUGUGUCGUAAGCUGUUGAAGGAGCGAUUUGCGCCUUUUUAAGUGUUAAUUUUGGGUAGCCGGCUUGUAUCGGCUUGAAAGCUGAAAAUUAUGCCUCUCAUCAUAAUAGCAUUAAUUUUUGUAAUUGCAAUGUGUAUGUUUAGAUUGUAAGUGAAGCUUUUAAUAAUAAUUUUCAUAAAAAACAUGAUUUUAUAUGCUG
Dreissena polymorpha is the source of this 1590-nucleotide long non-coding RNA. RefSeq lists it as uncharacterized. Lineage: Eukaryota; Metazoa; Mollusca; Bivalvia; Myida; Dreissenidae. The record is from RefSeq and is a predicted model, not a curated record. The transcript has 9 exons.